UACGUAGGGUGCAAGCGUUAAUCGGAAUUACUGGGCGUAAAGCGUGCGCAGGCGGUUAUGCAAGACAGAUGUGAAAUCCCCGGGCUCAACCUGGGAACUGCAUUUGUGACUGUAUAGCUGGAGUACGGUAGAGGGGGAUGGAAUUCCGCGUGUAGCAGUGAAAUGCGUAGAUAUGCGGAGGAACACCGAUGGCGAAGGCAAUCCCCUGGACCUGUACUGACGCUCAUGCACGAAAGCGUGGGGAGCAAACAGG
Molecule: ribosomal RNA, 253 nt
Filed under: uncultured bacterium
Lineage: Bacteria
Description: partial 16S ribosomal RNA
Rfam family: Bacterial small subunit ribosomal RNA
Source: RNAcentral